This 254-nucleotide ribosomal RNA is filed under the name uncultured bacterium. Its description in RNAcentral is "partial 16S ribosomal RNA". It matches the Rfam family "Bacterial small subunit ribosomal RNA", at positions 524 to 776 of the family's 1533-position model. The record is from RNAcentral.
CACGUAGGGACCGAGCGUUGUCCGGAUUUAUUGGGCGUAAAGAGCUCGUAGGCUGUUCAGUAAGUCAGGUGUGAAAACUCUGGGCUUAACCCAGAGCCUGCAUUUGAUACUGCUGUGACUUGAGUUCGGUAGGGGAGCGGGGAAUUCCUAGUGUAGCGGUGAAAUGCGCAGAUAUUAGGAGGAACACCGGUGGCGAAGGCGCCGCUCUGGGCCGAAACUGACGCUGAGGAGCGAAAGCGUGGGUAGCAAACAGG